CUACCGGCCUACUUCCUGGCCCAGCCAUCCCAGCUGAUGCCAGGCAGCUGGCGGUCGGCCCUUUCCCGCCGGGCUCCAACGGCCCCCACUUUGCCUACGCCGAUCCCUCACUCCGGGCGCCCCCCGCCCUGGAAGCCGGAGAACGGGCUUGAUCGGACCCAGAGGAGCCUCACCUGAAAGGACAAACACGUGCACGAUGACCCAGAAGGAGACGAGGCCGAUUUGGCUGCCAAGGUGAACCUUGCCAGCAGCACGACGACGACCACGGGGUUGCCAGGUGCUCGGCGUCCUCAACAGAUUAACUUUGGAAGAUUAAACACGAGAGGCUCCCGCCAUGUGAACAUGACGCAGCAUGUAGUCUUGUGGAUCGCCGGAGAGCAGAAGGGGAAGACUUGACGUUCUCUAUCUCCUCACCGCCGACCUCUCGCCCACAUCAUUCCUGGAAUAUCCUCCACUUCAUGUUCAACAGACCACCACUCUCCCCACCUUCAAGGCCCUAUUAAAAGCCCAUCUCCUCCAAGA
Ornithorhynchus anatinus (platypus) is the source of this 522-nucleotide long non-coding RNA. RefSeq lists it as uncharacterized. Lineage: Eukaryota; Metazoa; Chordata; Mammalia; Monotremata; Ornithorhynchidae. The record is from RefSeq and is a predicted model, not a curated record. The transcript is spliced from 2 exons.